This 785-nucleotide ribosomal RNA is filed under the name uncultured Actinomyces sp. RNAcentral describes it as "bacterial SSU rRNA". It matches the Rfam family "Bacterial small subunit ribosomal RNA", at positions 70 to 850 of the family's 1533-position model. Lineage: Bacteria; Bacillati; Actinomycetota; Actinomycetes; Actinomycetales; Actinomycetaceae. The record is from RNAcentral.
AAGCUCAGCUUUUGUUGGGUGGAUGAGUGGCGAACGGGUGAGUAACACGUGAGUAACCUGCCCCCUUCUUUGGGAUAACGCCCGGAAACGGGUGCUAAUACUGGAUAUUCACUUGCCUUCGCAUGGGGGUUGGUGGAAAGGGUUUUUUCUGGUGGGGGAUGGGCUCGCGGCCUAUCAGCUUGUUGGUGGGGUGAUGGCCUACCAAGGCUUUGACGGGUAGCCGGCCUGAGAGGGUGACCGGUCACAUUGGGACUGAGAUACGGCCCAGACUCCUACGGGAGGCAGCAGUGGGGAAUAUUGCACAAUGGGCGAAAGCCUGAUGCAGCGACGCCGCGUGAGGGAUGGAGGCCUUCGGGUUGUAAACCUCUUUCGCUCAUGGUCAAGCCGCAGCUUUGGGUUGUGGUGAGGGUAGUGGGUAAAGAAGCGCCGGCUAACUACGUGCCAGCAGCCGCGGUAAUACGUAGGGCGCGAGCGUUGUCCGGAAUUAUUGGGCGUAAAGGGCUUGUAGGCGGUUGGUCGCGUCUGCCGUGAAAUCCUCUGGCUUAACUGGGGGCGUGCGGUGGGUACGGGCUGACUUGAGUGCGGUAGGGGAGACUGGAACUCCUGGUGUAGCGGUGGAAUGCGCAGAUAUCAGGAAGAACACCGGUGGCGAAGGCGGGUCUCUGGGCCGUUACUGACGCUGAGGAGCGAAAGCGUGGGGAGCGAACAGGAUUAGAUACCCUGGUAGUCCACGCUGUAAACGUUGGGCACUAGGUGUGGGGGCCACCCGUGGUUUCUGCGCCGUA